UUUUUUUUCUCAGCUAGAUUCUUUUCUCUGGUGUAUUAAUAGUAUUAUACAUGUUUGCUACUUUGCUUCAUGCAGGAUUAACAGACUCUGCGAGUUGUCUUUCUUUAAUAAGGUUAGAGUAUCUGGUAUCCCAGAUUAUCUCCAAUUUCUUGGAUGUGAUUGCAGAUAUCUUGGAGAUGACAUAGUUCAUAAGAGUUCUGCAGCAGGAAUUAAAUGCCGUUGAGAAGGACAAGGAUGCGUUCAUUGAGGACUUUUCUAAGGAGGACUACAAUGACAUGGUGGAUGGAAGGCAAAAGCUG
Rosa chinensis is the source of this 299-nucleotide long non-coding RNA. RefSeq lists it as uncharacterized. NCBI's taxonomy places the organism in Eukaryota, Viridiplantae, Streptophyta, Magnoliopsida, Rosales, Rosaceae. The transcript has 4 exons. The record is from RefSeq and is a predicted model, not a curated record.